AUUUUUGUGAAAUAAAAUAUUAAUUAUAUAUAUAUUUUUUGAAAAUAGAAAAUAAUAAUUUUAACGUAUGUCAAAAAUUAAAAUGUUGCAAACUAUAAAGUACUGAAUUGACAAAAUGUAUUCACUUCGCCAGUUACCCGUAGAAACUGCUAUUUCCCCCUGAUACAAAAACAUGGUGAUUUUCCAGUUUUUAUCCCGUGCACAAACGUGCUGCACUUCUCAUAUGUAUUCUCCUUAAGUUCGCAAUUCUGACAUGUAUUCACAGCUUCCAUUUCUUACAUACUAAUAUUUUUGGAAUAUAGGCUAUGGAAAGUUGGUCAGCAGUGUGAUGGAAGUCAGAUAAUUGCUCACAGAAGCUUUCACAUCGCGGUACAUGCAUUGUCAUUUGCAGGGCUUCACAUUCAGUGAUGAACUGGUUGGAUGCUUGAGGCUUAAAUACUUUCACUGCAAUAAAUGUCUCAUUGUCUGGUGGACUUGAAAUUUUCCCUUUGUACACUAAACCAGAGUUACCCUCGCUGACUAAGUUGUUCGGUGAGAAUUCUUCAGUUGCUUCAUGGAGUAGCUUGUAGGACAAUUUGAUGGGUGAUGUGUAUGUCUUUGACCCCAAAAAACUCGGUGGCUUUUCUUUUCUUCUUCUAAGCCAUAUAUAGUAACCAAUGGCAAGAACUGGUAUUGAACUAAUCACAAUCAAAACUUGUACCCACGACAUUUUGUGUUUAUGUGAUCCAUGACUACUGCAUCUUGGUAGCUGGAGUUCAGGUAUGCCUCCACAGAGCCCUUUAUUACCUACUAUUGAAAAUGCACUUGCAUUUGCAAAUACUCCUUUCUUAAGUACCUCUCCCUCGAGAUUAUUCCUGCUUAGAUUUAAAUAUUUCAAGGACAGGGUUUCCAAGAAAUCUGGGAUUUUCCCAGAUAACUUAUUACGAGAAAGAUCAAGAUAUUGCAAGCCUCUUAACUUUUUCAUUGAUUGUGAGAUGUUACCCUGAAUGAAGUUCCCUUGCAUGUUUAGUGAAUUGAGGGCAAUGCAGUCAGCAAGCUGUGUUGGAAUCAAACCGGAAAGCUGAUUUUCUGAGAUAUCCAAUUCAACUAAGGUUUUCAAAGCACCAACACCUGCUGGUAGUGAUCCAACCAAAUGGUUUUGAGAAAGAUUCAACUUGAGAGAAAAAGGCGAAAUAUCAAAGAGUUUGCUGGGUAUACUUCCACUGAGGUUAUUUUGAGACAACUCCAAGAGGACCAACAUUGGACAAUGUCCAAAACUGGGAGGAAUGGUUCCAUUCAAUUCAUUAUUUUCUAAAUGUACCUCGUCCAGCAUAGAUAGAUUGCCAAUGGAAGCAGGAAUGUUCCCUGAAAGUCUGUUGUUAGAAAGAAGAACUCGUUGCAACUUCCUGAGUUUUGCAAUUUCUGGGGGAAUGAUGCCUGUGAACCGGUUACCUUCUAAUGAUAAAAAUAUCAAGUUGAUGAAUUUACCUAUCUCUAAAGGGAUGCUACCAGAAAUCCGAUUAUCUGCUAAGCUUAUCAUUGUUAGCUCAUUUGAUAGAUUAGCAACAGAAUGGGGCAAUGAUCCUCGAAAAUUAUUGCCCCCUAGCUUCAAUAUUUUUAAGCUGCUGCAAUUGAUCAACGAGUUGAGGAAACUCAAGUCACUUUGCCCCCCAAGUCCUAGAUUGUUACUUUCCAGAACUAAAUUUUGAAGAUGCAACAACCUUCCAAAAUCUAUAGACACGGGGCCGCUAAAAUUGUUGAACUGCAAAUCAAUAACUUGAAGCCUGGAAGCAUUCGAAAGUGAUAUGGGAAUGUUCCCGGUGAAUUUGUUAUUUGAUAGCUGAAUUUUUUGGAGAUUGGGAAGAGCAAAUCCAAAGUCUGAUGGUAUACUUCCUUGAAGUAGAUUAUUGGCCAAAUUGAAGACAUUCAGUAAUGAGAGAUUGAAAAUAGGAGGAAUCAUACCUGACAGCUUAUUGGAAAAAAGUUCCAAACUGACUAACCUAUCAAGUAGUCCCAAGGUAUCUGGUAUGCUUCCUUCCAAAGCAUUUCGUCCUAAGCUCAGAACUUUUAGCCUGAAAAGGCGGCCUACUUCUUGAGGAAUCGUGCCUUGAAGAUUGUUGUUGUAGAGAAUGAUUUCACUCAGAAAACUCAUGUUUCCGAUAUAAGGAGACAUAGAACCCCCCAAACCUUUAGAAGAAAGGUUUAUGCUGGUGACUCUUUGUUUGACCUUGCUGCAUAAAAUUCCUUCCCAGUUGCAAAAAAACAGAGACGAAUUCCACGAGCCAAGAGCUCCUUGAGGAUCAUGAGUAAUCUUUGCUCUGAAUGCCAACAAUGCCUGUCGAUCUCUUUCAUUUCCACUUAGCCUAGCAUUACAAGUCCAGAUGAUAAGAGCAAGGCAGACGAGGAACAAGGAUAGUACGUAUGUCCGGUAUUUGUCAACUCCGCUCAUUUUGAAAUAUUUCCUCCUUAUUGUUUCCUUUGUUACAUUCUAGACCUUUUGUGUUGAUUUAUAUACCAGUAAUGAGUGCUGAGAAGUGAGAACUGCUGUAAAUUGAUCUGAUGUUGGAAUGCAAGUUCUUGGAAUCACAUUUGCUACCAGAAAAACCUAGUUGUCUGGAAAUUUCCCAGGAAAUAUGCUCACUUUUAAGAGAUAUUUGUAAGCCUGUGAGUCCUGGUACUAAAUUAUUGUUGGCUCCACUUUAGACAGUAAAUAUCCGACUGAUAUUUUAGAAAACAGGUCCAUCUAAAUCUUAGAUAUCAGAGAAA
Molecule: long non-coding RNA, 2745 nt
Organism: Daucus carota subsp. sativus
Lineage: Eukaryota; Viridiplantae; Streptophyta; Magnoliopsida; Apiales; Apiaceae
Exons: 3
Source: RefSeq, a predicted model, not a curated record